UGAGAAGCUUGCUUCUCUGAUGUUAGCGGCGGACGGGUGAGUAACACGUGGGUAACCUACCUAUAAGACUGGGAUAACUCCGGGAAACCGGGGCUAAUACCGGAUAAUAUUUUGAACCGCAUGGUUCAAUAGUGAAAGACGGUUUCGGCUGUCACUUAUAGAUGGACCCGCGCCGUAUUAGCUAGUUGGUAAGGUAACGGCUUACCAAGGCGACGAUACGCAGCCGACCUGAGAGGGUGAUCGGCCACACUGGAACUGAGACACGGUCCAGACUCCUACGGGAGGCAGCAGUAGGGAAUCUUCCGCGAUGGGCGAAAGCCUGACGGAGCAACGCCGCGUGAGUGAUGAAGGUCUUCGGAUUGUAAAACUCUGUUGUUAGGGAAGAACAAAUUUGUUAGUAACUGAACAAGUCUUGACGGUACCUAACCAGAAAGCCACGGCUAACUACGUGCCAGCAGCCGCGGUAAUACGUAGGUGGCAAGCGUUAUCCGGAAUUAUUGGGCGUAAAGCGCGCGUAGGCGGUUUCUUAAGUCUGAUGUGAAAGCCCACGG
Molecule: ribosomal RNA, 551 nt
Filed under: uncultured bacterium
Lineage: Bacteria
Description: bacterial SSU rRNA
Rfam family: Bacterial small subunit ribosomal RNA
Source: RNAcentral